Molecule: non-coding RNA, 498 nt
Filed under: Pongo abelii (Sumatran orangutan)
Lineage: Eukaryota; Metazoa; Chordata; Mammalia; Primates; Hominidae
Source: RNAcentral
UUUCUAGCCCAUGACAGACUAACGUAUCUAAAAAUCAUAGAUUAGGUAAAGAAUGUGUGCAAAUUAAAAUCCAUGCACAGAAACCUAUGUGAGAAGAAGGAGCGUUGUCAUCGCAGACGUUUAACUGGGCCUGGUUGAAGAUGGCCGCGUGUAAACCAGAAUGCAAGUCAGCUGGGGCACGUACUACUGGAGGCAGAGCCCCAUGAGAAGGGGCCAAGAACCCGCACCCAUCAAAAUCAAGAAGAAAGGCUGAACCCGGAGAGAAAAGGGAGCAACUGAUGUUGCCAUGCAGAUCCCUUGGUUGCUAUGAGAUGGUAACAUCACUCUGCCCCACCAUUGGCCAGUGCCUCCUCAGCUGCGGUGCCUCCCAGGCUGUGUGGUUCUCACGCGGGCCGCUGACACAGAGCUGUUACUAUGGUGAACUUUACAAUUUCCUUUGAUUGGUGGAUUUCAGAAAUAGGCCAUCAGCGGAAUUCAUUAUAUUCAGCUAAGUCAAAA